RNAcentral lists this transfer RNA (85 nucleotides) under Thermoplasmatales archaeon. Its description in RNAcentral is "tRNA-Leu". It matches the Rfam family "tRNA". Rfam says of the family: Transfer RNA (tRNA) molecules are approximately 80 nucleotides in length. Their secondary structure includes four short double-helical elements and three loops (D, anti-codon, and T loops). Further hydrogen bonds mediate the characteristic L-shaped molecular structure. tRNAs have two regions of fundamental functional importance: the anti-codon, which is responsible for specific mRNA codon recognition, and the 3' end, to which the tRNAs corresponding amino acid is attached (by aminoacyl-tRNA synthetases). tRNAs cope with the degeneracy of the genetic code in two manners: having more than one tRNA (with a specific anti-codon) for a particular amino acid; and 'wobble' base-pairing, i.e. permitting non-standard base-pairing at the 3rd anti-codon position. RNAcentral also lists the same sequence under 2 other names. Lineage: Archaea; Methanobacteriati; Thermoplasmatota; Thermoplasmata; Thermoplasmatales. The record is from RNAcentral.
GCAGGGGUAGCCAAGCCUGGUCAACGGCGAUAGACUCAAGAUCUAUUCCUGAAGAGGUCCGCGGGUUCAAAUCCCUCCCCCUGCA